Non-coding RNA from Pelobates cultripes (western spadefoot toad), 876 nucleotides. Lineage: Eukaryota; Metazoa; Chordata; Amphibia; Anura; Pelobatidae. The record is from the annotation of a GenBank genome assembly.
CUGACUCGCAGGUUGUACCUAAUAGACCUACUUAAAUCUUUUGUUUUAUUCUUUCUGUUGCAUAGAAGUAUAAGUUUAUUACUCUGUUUUAUUGCAAGUUAUUUCACAUGGGAUCUGUGUGCCUGAUAUGAUUGUUGCUUUAAUACCAUAAGCCCACUACACUUUCUAUGAGAGUGGGAUAGUGUAAAUGUGUUACAUUGUUUGCAUGAUGAGCUCAGUAUUUUUAUAACUGAGACAAAAAGUCACAUCAUUAGUAUUUGAAAGUUAAUUCCCCAUAUGGGAUUAAUUGUAUAGAAACACCAAUCAGCACAUCUUCCAUGCCCUGUGUGUUUGUUGCAAAGGAUCCAUACUGUAAAUAUGAUUUUUGUUUGUUAAUAAGAGAGCAACAUUUACAUUUUCAGCGGUCCAACACAUGCUUCAUUUUGCGCUGUAAACUAACCUUUUAUUGCAACAGAUUCCUUUUAAAUGAUCCAGUGUAAUAACUACUGCAUAUGUUUUGUGUCUUCUAUGUCUCACAUUAUAUGUGUUCUGUUCUUUUAAAUUGUGGUAUAUAGCCUGGAUCAGAGAUUAUGGACAAAGGUUUCUACCUGUUUUACUAAGGCUCUUGGAGACUGACCGGUCUAAGGUUUGCCAUGCCUUUUAAACAUGGUAUAGAAUAAUUUUUUUUAAGUCUCUGAGAGUUCUGUAAGAUUCUGGUGAAACCAUGUCUGUGUAAUCUGGUCCAAAUGUUUGCUCAAUUUCUAUAAGAUUUAAGUUGAUGCAGUAUCAUCUCAGAUUAGUUAAUGGAAGUUUCAUACAAAUAUUUGAGUUAUGAGCGCGCUAUAUAAAUGGAUCCUUUCUCUAUAUACAAUACUAUAGUAGAUUAAAGUAAUGAAG